RNAcentral lists this ribosomal RNA (1462 nucleotides) under uncultured Bordetella sp. RNAcentral's name for it is "partial 16S-23S ribosomal RNA intergenic spacer". It matches the Rfam family "Bacterial small subunit ribosomal RNA". Lineage: Bacteria; Pseudomonadati; Pseudomonadota; Betaproteobacteria; Burkholderiales; Alcaligenaceae. The record is from RNAcentral.
ACAUCAGGUGGCCGCUGAGGGGGUUGAUUCUGGCUCAGAUUGAACGCUGGCGGGAUGCUUUACGCUGAUCGAACGGCAGCACGGACUUCGGUCUGGUGGCGAGUGGCGAACGGGUGAGUAAUGUAUCGGAACGUGCCUAGUAGCGGGGGAUAACUACGCGAAAAGCAUCGCUAAUACCUUACGCCCUUCGGGGAAAGCGGGGACCUUCCGGGCUACUAUGAAACAGCCGAUAUCAAGUUUAACUAGUUGGUGGGGUAACGGCUCACCAAAGGCGACGAUCCGUAGCUGGUUGAGGACGACCGUACACUGGGACUGGAACCACGGCCCAGACUCCUACGGGAGGCAACGGUGGGGAAUUUUGGACAAUGGAAACCACAGUCCAGCCAUCCCGCGUGUGCGAUGAAAUACUUCAGGUUGUAACACUUUUGGCAGGAAAAAAGCAGCGCAGGAUAAUACCCCGGUACAGCGGGCAUGCAGAAUAAGCACCAGCUAACUGUACAUGCCGUGACCGCGGUAAUACGUAAGUGCAAGCAUUAAUCAAGAUACCUGGAGGCGUAAAGCGUGCACGACAGUUCGGAAGAAGAUGUUGAAAAUCUGGAAGCGCUUUUGGAACUGUUUUUAACACCGGGCUGGGAGUGUGUCAGAGGGAGGUGGAAUUCCUGUGUAGCAGUGAAAUGCGUAGACUAUGCGAACACCGAUGGCGAAGGCAACCUCCUGGGGAUAACACUGACAACUCAUGCACAGCGCGUGAAGACAAGCGGGAUUAGAUACCUGGUAGUCCCACGCCCUAAACGAUGUCAACUGGCUAUUUGGGGCCUUCGGGCCUUGGUAGCAUAAUAACGCGUGAAGUUGACCGCCUGGGGAGUACGGUCGCAAGAUUAAAACUCCGAGAAUUGACGGGGACCGCACAAGCAGUGGAUGAUGUCGGAUUAAUUGGGCCCAACGCGAAAAACCUUACUACCGCCGAGCAUGUGUGAAUCCGAAGAGAGAUUUGCGGAGUGCUCGCAAGAGAACCGUUUGAUUGUACCAUGGCUGUCGUCGCUCGUGUGAGAUGUUGGGUUCGUCCGCAACGAGCGCAACCGCAGCCGUUAGUUGCUACGAAGACGCUCUGUAAGGACUGCCGGUGACAAGCCGGAGGAAGGUGGGGAUGACGUCAAGUCUCGCCAGUAUAUGGUGGGGCUUCACCCCGCCAUAAUGAAUUCGGGACAGAAGGUCGCCAGCCUUGCGAGGGGAGCCAAUCAGGGAAACCCGAUCGUGGUCGGAUCGCAGUCUGCAACUCGACUGCGAUGAAGUCGGAAAUCGCCAAUAAUCGCGGAUCAGCAUGUCGCGGUGAAUACGUUCCCGGGUCUUGUACACACCGCCCGUCACCAUGGGAGUGGGUUUUACCAGAAGUAGUUAUAGCCUAACCAUGGAGGGCGUUACCACGGUAGGAUUCAUGACUGGGGUGAAGUCAUAUGAGUAA